UACAGAGGGUCCAAGCGUUAUCCGGAAUCAUUGGGUUUAAAGGGUCCGUAGGCGGUUUAGUAAGUCAGUGGUGAAAGCCCAUCGCUCAACGGUGGAACGGCCAUUGAUACUGCUAGACUUGAAUUAUUAGGAAGUAACUAGAAUAUGUAGUGUAGCGGUGAAAUGCUUAGAGAUUACAUGGAAUACCAAUUGCGAAGGCAGGUUACUACUAAUGGAUUGACGCUGAUGGACGAAAGCGUGGGUAGCGAACAGG
RNAcentral lists this ribosomal RNA (253 nucleotides) under uncultured bacterium. RNAcentral describes it as "partial 16S ribosomal RNA". It matches the Rfam family "Bacterial small subunit ribosomal RNA", at positions 524 to 776 of the family's 1533-position model. The record is from RNAcentral.